This 851-nucleotide long non-coding RNA is filed under the name Nicotiana tabacum (common tobacco). RNAcentral's name for it is "long non-coding RNA (NTAB_LNC009781)". Lineage: Eukaryota; Viridiplantae; Streptophyta; Magnoliopsida; Solanales; Solanaceae. The record is from RNAcentral.
AGAAACCCUAACAACCAAACCAGGUGGAGCAAUGGUUGAAGAAGUAUACGUGGCAUUUCGAUCUGAACCAACAUUCGUCGCAACUCUUUUCACUUUCACAACCCCCUGAUUUUGCUUAAGUUUUUCUAUAGAGAUUGAAGGGUAAUUUAUGUUUGAUAUGAGUUCCUUUUUACUAGUACUAGCAUUUCUUGGGCAAUCGAAAUUCUUAUAAUUCUUUGAUGCUACUAAUCUAAGUUGUUUUUCUUUGUACCCGUAAUAACAUAGGAAGUUGUAGUAGUCAGUCAUGGUCGUUUCAAAUACUAACCCUGGAUCUAGAGCUUUAAUUGGGCUUAAUUCCCCAGCACCUAUUUCAUGUGGAUUUGAAUAAAGACCUGACGUGUUUGUCAAGUGCUUCCUCAAAUUGUUGGAUACUGUUGCUGUUGAGAGGAAAAAGAAAAUUCCAUUAUCAGCAAAAUUUGAAGUAGAAAAGUAGUGCUUAGAUGAAAGGAAAUGAAACAACAUAUUGCAGCAAAAGAAAAUAGUGAAACGGUAAACAGGAGGUCACUCGUUCAACCCGUGUCAUAAGACCCAAUGUAAUCUGGCCUUCCCUGAAUCACGCGCAUAGCGAGAACUUAGUGCACAAAGCUGCUUUCUUUUUAUCAAUUUGUAAAUGAUACUAAAUAUUUAAUAGCCAAAAUAUGUGAUAUACCUGUUGUCAUGAUUGCAGAUUUGAUCAUUGAGAAGCUCCAUGUACGGUGUAUUGAUUUAAUGAAGGACAUAGCUCCAGUAACAUGUGGACAGGCCAUAGAUGUUCCAGAUGUGAUGCCAAAUAAGGAUGUUGAUUUUUUUUCUGGUAAAAGAUUACUACUCAC